GCCCUUCUUCAAACUUGCAUUUUGACGUGAACCACCUCGGGACUGAUAAAAAGAGGAAUUA
Molecule: transfer RNA, 61 nt
Filed under: Microlophus theresiae
Lineage: Eukaryota; Metazoa; Chordata; Lepidosauria; Squamata; Tropiduridae
Description: tRNA-Cys
Source: RNAcentral